RNAcentral lists this unclassified non-coding RNA (234 nucleotides) under Hevea brasiliensis (rubber tree). The record is from RNAcentral. Lineage: Eukaryota; Viridiplantae; Streptophyta; Magnoliopsida; Malpighiales; Euphorbiaceae.
CUGCCUAUGUAGGAAUCGGCGGUCGAAUUAGAUCUCGAAGUCGAUGCCGUAUUGGUACUAUUCUCCGUAGCCAUGGUCGAUAAAUCUCUCUUUCUUUACUCCAAUCCUAACCUACAAAUACACAGACAUGCAUAUAUCUCUAUCUAUUAAACAGAGAUUCAGAAGAAAAAAUCCAGAAACUGAACUCAAAGUGCAGAGAGAGAGGGGAUUAGGGUUUAGGUUAUCUUUGCGAUU